GUUUGCUCAUUUUCUCCCCACAUGCUUCCUCUCGCAAUGCUCAGUCAACCAAGCGCCCUCCACAACGUUUGCUGGGAAUGGGUAGGAUGGAUGCCCCCCGUGCCAGCUCUGUCGAGCCAGCCACCGAGAACCCCAAACUAGCUAUCCUAUGAUGAUCCUUCCGCAGGUUCACCUACGGAAA
This 181-nucleotide unclassified non-coding RNA is filed under the name uncultured fungus. Its description in RNAcentral is "sequence contains ITS1". Lineage: Eukaryota; Fungi. The record is from RNAcentral.